AUGGUGGGUAAUACUGUAUAAUCCCUGCGGGGGAAAGAUUUAUCGCUACUAGAUGAGCCUAUGUCAGAUUAGCUAGUUGGUGGGGUAAUGGCCCACCAAGGCUGUGAUCUGUAGCUGGUCUGAGAGGAUGAUCAGCCACACUGGAACUGAGACACGGUCCAGACUCCUACGGGAGGCAGCAGUGGGGAAUAUUGGACAAUGGGCGCAAGCCUGAUCCAGCUAUGCCGCGUGAGUGAGGAAGGCCUUAGGGUUGUAAAACUCUUUCAGUAGGGAAGAUAAUGACGGUACCUACAGAAGAAGUCCCGGCAAACUCCGUGCCAGCAGCCGCGGUAAUACGGAGGGGGCAAGCGUUGUUCGGAAUUAUUGGGCGUAAAGGGCAUGUAGGCGGUUUGGUAAGUUAAAGGUGAAAUACCAGGGCUUAACCCUGGGGCUGCUUUUAAUACUGCAGGACUAGAGUCCGGAAGAGGAUAGCGGAAUUCCUAGAG
This 485-nucleotide ribosomal RNA is filed under the name Anaplasma ovis. RNAcentral's name for it is "bacterial SSU rRNA". It matches the Rfam family "Bacterial small subunit ribosomal RNA", at positions 156 to 675 of the family's 1533-position model. The record is from RNAcentral. Lineage: Bacteria; Pseudomonadati; Pseudomonadota; Alphaproteobacteria; Rickettsiales; Anaplasmataceae.